UUCACCUGGUGAAGGAAAGAGGACAAGAAGAGACUGGGGCAAAGUGAAAUGCAGUCCACUCUAUGCACCUCUCGAGCACAGGCACCCGCAGAUUAAAUCCCUCCUCCAGAACAGUGCAGCUGUGGAAGAGCUCAGUCAGAAAGCUGCCGACCGAAAGGAACAAGUCUGGCACCUAUGAAGUAAGCCCAGCAGCUCAGUGCACGGUAUCUGGUUUCCCCCCUGGAGGCUGCCAGGAAGAUGAGGACGAAGUGGCACUGAAACUGGAAAGCAGACGGCAUGCUGACACCUCCUCUGGCAGCCUUCUCUCUCUCCCCGUGGCCAAGUUUCUGCCGGUCCGCACUGGUAGGCAGGAACCGCUGGGGUAUCUUGGAGAGAUUCUUUUUAUAGAGCUGUCGGGAGGGGAGGCACUUGGUCCCCGUACUGAUAGGGUAACCCAUGGUAACUGAAUUUCUCUUGCAGUGACACAGUGUGUGGGCAUGACAAGGGUCCAAAUCACUGCCACAAAUUUUCAAGCUGGUUGAACUCCCCUGGCUGGCAGAUGUCUUUUCUACUUACCUAUCUGGUGGACUUGAAAAGCACUGUGGAGAAGAGCCCAUUCCUGUGCAGCUGGGGAACUUGUGUUUAUUUCCAGUUAUUUUAAAGUGAGGAAUGGGGAGAAUCCCUCACUCCUCCUCUUCUUCUUUCCAGUCCUGAGGCAAUUUGAAUUUGCAGGGCUUGCUGCCUGCCUCCUGAUGCUCUGUGACAUCCUACUGGCCAGGCCCAGGUGGGUGCACCUGCAUCUCAGCCAGGCUUACAGCCUGGGGCCAACAUCCCCUGUGAUGUUGGAUGACACACUGGCUUCCAGGUCCUGCAUCUGCAGCAAGUACACAGUAAAACCAGACAGGUCUCGCUGCCAACAUAGCUGUUGCACAUAAAUGAGAAAACUUGGGGUUCCCAAAGGCAGAUUCUUCACAGCAGCUGAAACUACUCCAGCCCUGAUCCUCAAGGGAAAUCUGAGAGAGACCUUUAAAAGGUGAAUCUGGGAAUGAAAAUUCAUAAAUCUGAAGAGUACUAAAAUCCAGUAUAUUCUUGUUUUCUUCUGAUCCAGGAUGAACCAUCAUAGAAUCAUAUAAUCAUAUGUCUAUCUCGGGCUUCUUGCUAAUGUCUCUUUCUGUGCUGUGUUUUGCUGUCAAAUUGACACUUUGGUUUGGUCAAACUUAAAAUACAACCCAAAGCUGCAAAUCUUUAAGUUUGUUGUUUCUAAUUUCAUACUCAGGACUUGUGAACAGAAACAUGUGCUUACUGUUUCACCCAACUUAUUGGCUGAACAGUGACUAAAUAACUGAAUGAUUAAU
Pogoniulus pusillus (Red-fronted tinkerbird) is the source of this 1334-nucleotide long non-coding RNA. RefSeq lists it as uncharacterized. The transcript is spliced from 2 exons. The record is from RefSeq and is a predicted model, not a curated record. NCBI's taxonomy places the organism in Eukaryota, Metazoa, Chordata, Aves, Piciformes, Lybiidae.